This is a long non-coding RNA of Ictalurus punctatus (channel catfish), 505 nucleotides long. The record is from Ensembl. NCBI's taxonomy places the organism in Eukaryota, Metazoa, Chordata, Actinopteri, Siluriformes, Ictaluridae.
UAUUUUUAAGAUAUCCUUAAUAUUUUUUGGUAAAUUUCAAUCAAAAUAUUUGAGAAUGGGGUAAUUAUACUGAUCAGUUUCAAGAACUACAAUUAUUGCUCAUUCCAUAUCAAUAUUCUUCAUCUUUAACAACAACUUAAGAAAUUUAGUAAGUGGACACAAUGAACAAUCACACAUAAAGAGAGGGAAAUCUGCUUUUCUCUCUCUGUAACAUGGCAACAAGCAAGGAAACACCAUGGGGAGAACCACCUAGAAGACUCCUUACAAAUCCUGGUACACCAUGCUGUCAUAUCCCCGAUAGAUAAGAGACAUCCGACCAACUGCCACUUCACACAGCGGUAAAGGGAAGAACUCCUCAACAGUCACAUCACAGCACAUCAGCGCAUUUUGUGACAGUGGACUUGUCACAAAAUGCCAUGUUAAAAUUCAGAACCUUUGUUGUAGUUUAUAGGUACCAUAAGAGUUACAGUGACAGGGAAUACUCCUGUGACAAGAUGUGAUACUG